Molecule: long non-coding RNA, 1672 nt
Organism: Nicotiana tabacum (common tobacco)
Lineage: Eukaryota; Viridiplantae; Streptophyta; Magnoliopsida; Solanales; Solanaceae
Source: RefSeq, a predicted model, not a curated record
UUUAUAUAUUUUCCCAUGAAUUAAUGGUAUUUGGACAUGAUUUCUUGUUUUGGACGAAUUCUAUGGAAUAUUUUCUCGUAAUUCUUUUUUGUAUGAUCUGUUAGUGUGGACGCAAAGAUUAAUUGUAGUGAUUAUAGUGAACUACAAAAAUUGUUUAUGAGCUGACAAAUGACUAAAAAAAUUGUUCAUUCUGCACAAUUUUGCUAUUAGAUUAAUUUUUGGGCAUCCAAGAAUUCCAACACUAGCUACUUUAUGUCUAGUGCCUAAAUGCUAUUAUCUGUGUUUUUAAAUAUAUUUAUCUUUUGGUUCAGAAAAUGAAAAUUUCUGAGCAUCGAAAAUCGAUGGAAAAUAGACUUCUUCCCCGUCGAGCGGGGUAUACGGAUGAAUUUAUAAGUAGCAUGGAUGAGUUUAUUAAAUUUCUUGUAGUCAGCCUAAGUACUUGUCCGAGGGAGUCAUAAGGUGCCCUUGUAAGCGUUGUAAAAAUAUGAAGCACCUAAAACGCGAUGAAGUUAUUGCGCAUGUUUUUCAAAAAAGGGUUCACGCCAGGAUAUUGGUAUUGGAUAUCGCAUGGAGAGGAAGCACCUCCAAUUGAUUUGAAUGAACAUAUCUAUUCAGGUGCUUCGAGUUGUCAUCAAGGGUAUAACUUUGACAAACCUUCAAGCAGUCAAAGUAAUAUUCCUGAGGAAGACUAUGAACAUGUAAAUAGAUAUUAUAGUAAGAUUUAUGAUGCUGCUGGUGUAGAAUUUGGGCAUCAAUUUGAACCCAAUAUAGAAGAGUCCCCGAAUAUGGAUGCUACCAGGUUUUACAAAAUGUUGAAUUCAGCUCAACAACCUUUAUGGCCUGGAUGUAAAUAUUCAGAGUUGUCUACAGCUGUUAGAAUGAUGAGUAUUAAAUCCGAGUACAAUAUGUCACAAAGCUGUUUUAAUGCAAUGGUACAAUUAAUGAAGGAUACAAGUCUUCCAGAUAAUAAGAUACCUCUAGAUUACUAUCAUGCGAAAAAGCUAGUUUCAGGACUUGGUCUAACUAGUCAAAAAAUUAAUUGUUGUGUUAAUGGAUGUAUGUUGUAUUACAAGGUUGAUACAGAGAUGACAGAAUGUAAGUUUUGUAAAGAACCUCACUACAAAGAACGUGGGCGCAAGAAGGGUAAUAAAAAGGUUCCUCAGAAGACAAUACAUUACUUGCCACUUAUUCCUAGGCUUCAACUUUGAGAAAAGAGCAGCUACAAGAAUGAGCCAACUUUUUCAAGAUACUAGAAAAAAGUUGCCUGUGAGACCAAAUUGGAUGGAGGAUGAUGUAUUCAAACAGAUAAAGGAGUAUUGGGAGUCUCCUGAAUUUAAGUCAAAGUCCGAACAAAACAAAAAGAAUCGUGAUUCAAAUGAAGGUGUCUCAGUUCAUACAAGUGGUUGUAUACCUCAUCGAGUGAUUUGGAAGAGAAUGAAAGAAGCUACUGGAAAAGAAACUUCAAUUGCAUAAUUUUAUUUUCAGAUUCAUCGCACAAAAAAAGAAAAAUAUUGGGUAAAUGAGAAAGCUGAAGCUGCUUAUGAGGUUUUCGCCGUGUGGUUGUUGAUAUUGUGAUGCACGAGCUUUCUGCCGUGCGGCUAUUGUUAUGGGGUUGGACGAGGUUUCUACCGUGCUAUUGCUACUAUUGAUGUAUUGCACAUGCGGCGUGACA